GACGAACGCUGGCGGCGUGCUUAACACAUGCAAGUCGAACGGACAGGCCCUGCUUUUGUGGGGUGCUCGAUUGGCGAACGGGUGAGUAACACGUGAGUAACCUGCCCUUGACUUUGUGAUAACUUCAGGAAACUGGGGCUCAUACCGCAUAGGAGCUCCUGCUGCAUGGUGGGGGUUGGAAAGUUUCGGCGGUUGGGGCUAGACUCGCGGCUUAUCAGCUUGUUUGUGGGGUAGUGGCUUACCAAGGCUUUGACGGGUAGCCGGCCUGAGAGGGUGACCGGCCACAAGGGGACUGAGAGACGGACCAGAAGGCUACGGGAGGCAGCAGGGGGGAAUAUUGCACAAUGGGCGGAAGCCUGAUGUAGAAACGCCGCGUGCGGGAUGACGGCCUACGGGGUGUAAACCGCUGUCGCAUGUGACGAAGCGGGAGUGACGGUAAUGGGUAAAGAAGCACCGGCUAACUACGUG
This 468-nucleotide ribosomal RNA is filed under the name uncultured bacterium. Its description in RNAcentral is "partial 16S ribosomal RNA". It matches the Rfam family "Bacterial small subunit ribosomal RNA", at positions 28 to 507 of the family's 1533-position model. The record is from RNAcentral.